RNAcentral lists this ribosomal RNA (497 nucleotides) under uncultured bacterium. RNAcentral describes it as "partial 16S ribosomal RNA". It matches the Rfam family "Bacterial small subunit ribosomal RNA", at positions 28 to 507 of the family's 1533-position model. The record is from RNAcentral.
GAUGAACGCUGGCGGCGUGCCUAAUACAUGCAAGUCGAACGAACAGACCAGGAGCUUGGUCCUUCGACGUUAGCGGCGGACGGGAGGGUAACACGUAGGUAACCUAACUAUAAGACAGGGAUAACAUCGGGAAACCGGAGCUAAUGCCGGAUAAUAUUUCGCACCUCAUGGUUCGAUAGUGAAAGAUGGCAUUGCGAUCGCUUAUAGAUGGACAUGCGCCUUAUUAGAUAGUUGGUAAGGUAACGGCUUAGCAAGGCAACGAUGCGGAGCCGACCUGAAGGGGUGAUCGGCUACCUGGGAUGAGAGACACACCACAGACACCGACGCGGGGCAGCAGUCGAGACUCCUCCGCGAGGGGCGAGAGCGUGACGUAGCAAAGCCGCGGGAGUGAUGACGGACCCAUGACCGGUAAACGAUGUUAUUAGUGAAAUACUAACAUUUUAGUACCUGUGAACGUAAUGACGGUACCUGAUGAAAAAGCCCCGGCUAACUACGUG